Long non-coding RNA from Sander lucioperca (pikeperch), 894 nucleotides. RefSeq lists it as uncharacterized. The record is from RefSeq and is a predicted model, not a curated record. NCBI's taxonomy places the organism in Eukaryota, Metazoa, Chordata, Actinopteri, Perciformes, Percidae. The transcript is spliced from 2 exons.
UUUCUUUUUCUCUUAAUUAUUAGUGUAAUAAUAUGAAGCCAAUAGCUCUUUACAUUGACCUGGUGUUUGAUGCAUUCUGGACGCUGUCCUGUCUGUAACUCAAGUCUCAGAUUGUAAGAUGUUAUGAAAGCUGGUGUGGACUGCAGCUAGACUUCAGGUCGUAUUCAUGUACUGUAACUUAUUAGUGACAUUACACCCCCCCCCCCCCCCCAAACCUGACUCAUGAAGUGAAUGUCUGUUUUCUUACCCCAGCAGCAUGCAUGCUGUGUUUGCUCCUGGGCGUUGAUGGGAAUUUGGCCAGCUGACUCAGUGGAUUUUAUUUAGCCGUGUGUGUGUCUUCUUAUCAGCAUUAGCUUAUGGCCCCUAUUGUAAUGGCUGCAGUUAACACACUUGGGCAGCUUAUCCGCACAAAACCUGUGGCUUAACUCUAGAUUCUCUAGAUUCCCAGGAUCUAUCCUCUUGUGCCCCAUUUUUUUUAAUUCUAAUAAAGUGUUACCGUAUAUUUUUAGUGCGUCAGAAAUUUGGCUGCAGCAUCAGUGCGUGGUUGUAAUGAAAUGGUGUGGAACUGGUUGCUCGGGUUUCGACCAAGAAGCAGAAAAUGCAACUAGACUAUUGAUGAAGUGAUUUCAUGCGUUUGUGUCAUAUAAACUGUAAUUGUCCUAACAUUCUUCUUAAUUUACUAAACUGGUUGAAUGAUCUGCUGAAGUUUAGCAUUUUGUUCUCAUGCGCACAUAAGAUUUUUCUCAGAAGGUUUCCUAAAUUCCAAAGUAUAAUGCUUGGGCCUCUCACCAAGGUACAGUAUGUUACUAAUGGUACUAUAGUGACAGUAACCCAUUGUUUAACUGAUGUCUCGUUGUAAAAACAAUAAAGUUAAUGAAGUGAAACAAAAAGGAA